GACGAACUUUGGCGGCGUGCUUAACACAUGCAAGUCGAACGGAAAGGCCCUGCUUUUGUGGGGUGCUCGAGUGGCGAACGGGUGAGUAACACGUGAGUAACCUGCCCUUGACUUUGGGAUAACUUCAGGAAACUGGGGCUAAUACCGGAUAGGAGCUCCUGCUGCAUGGUGGGGGUUGGAAAGUUUCGGCGGUUGGGGAUGGACUCGCGGCUUAUCAGCUUGUUGGUGGGGUAGUGGCUUACCAAGGCUUUGACGGGUAGCCGGCCUGAGAGGGUGACCGGCCACAUUGGGACUGAGAUACGGCCCAGACUCCUACGGGAGGCAGCAGUGGGGAAUAUUGCACAAUGGGCGGAAGCCUGAUGCAGCAACGCCGCGUGCGGGAUGACGGCCUUCGGGUUGUAAACCGCUUUCGCCUGUGACGAAGCGUGAGUGACGGUAAUGGGUAAAGAAGCACCGGCUAACUACGUGCCAGCAGCCGCGGUGAUACGUAGGGUGCGAGCGUUGUCCGGAUUUAUUGGGCGUAAAGGGCUCGUAGGUGGUUGAUCGCGUCGGAAGUGUAAUCUUGGGGCUUAACCCUGAGCGUGCUUUCGAUACGGGUUGACUUGAGGAAGGUAGGGGAGAAUGGAAUUCCUGGUGGAGCGGUGGAAUGCGCAAAUAUCAGGAGGAACACCAGUGGCGAAAGCGGUUCUCUGGGCUUUUCCUGACGCUGAGGAGCGAAAGCGUGGGGAGCGAACAGGCUUAGAUACCCUGGUAGUCCACGCUGUAAACGGUGGGUACUAGGUGUGGGGUCCAUUCCACGGGUUCCGUGCCGUAGCUAACGCUUUAAGUACCCCGCCUGGGGAGUACGGCCGCAAGGCUAAAACUCAAAGGAAUUGACGGGGCCCCGCACAAGCGGCGGAGCAUGCGGAUUAAUUCGAUGCAACGCGUAGAACCUUACCUGGGUUUGACAUGGAUCGGGAGUGCUCAGAGAUGGGUGUGCCUCUUUUGGGGUCGGUUCACAGGUGGUGCAUGGCUGUCGUCAGCUCGUGUCGUGAGAUGUUGGGUUAAGUCCCGCAACGAGCGCAACCCUUGUUCACUGUUGCCAGCACGUUAUGGUGGGGACUCAGUGGAGACCGCCGGGGUCAACUCGGAGGAAGGUGGGGAUGACGUCAAGUCAUCAUGCCCCUUAUGUCCAGGGCUUCACGCAUGCUACAAUGGCUGGUACAGAGAGUGGCGAGCCUGUGAGGGUGAGCGAAUCUCGGAAAGCCGGUCUCAGUUCGGAUUGGGGUCUGCAACUCGACCUCAUGAAGUCGGAGUCGCUAGUAAUCGCAGAUCAGCAACGCUGCGGUGAAUACGUUCCCGGGGCU
RNAcentral lists this ribosomal RNA (1346 nucleotides) under uncultured bacterium. RNAcentral's name for it is "partial 16S ribosomal RNA". It matches the Rfam family "Bacterial small subunit ribosomal RNA", at positions 28 to 1381 of the family's 1533-position model. The record is from RNAcentral.